UUUUGUAUAAUGGGUCAGCGACUUAUAUUCUGUAGCAAGGUUAACCGUAUAGGGGAGCCGAAGGGAAACCGAGUCUUAACCGGGCGUUAAGUUGCAGGGUAUAGACCCGAAACCCGGUGAUCUAGCCAUGGGCAGGUUGAAGGUUGGGUAACACUAACUGGAGGACCGAACCGACUAAUGUUGAAAAAUUAGCGGAUGACCUGUGGCUGGGGGUGAAAGGCCAAUCAAACCGGGAGAUAGCUGGUUCUCCCCGAAAGCUAUUUAGGUAGCGCCUCGUGAAUUCAUCUCCGGGGGUAGAGCACUGUUUCGGCUAGGGGGCCAUCCCGGCUUACCAACCCGAUGCAAACUGCGAAUACCGGAGAAUGUUAUCACGGGAGACACACGGCGGGUGCUAACGUCCGUCGUGAAGAGGGAAACAACCCAGACCGCCAGCUAAGGUCCCAAAGUCAUGGUUAAGUGGGAAACGAUGUGGGAAGGCCCAGACAGCCAGGAUGUUGGCUUAGAAGCAGCCAUCAUUUAAAGAAAGCGUAAUAGCUCACUGGUCGAGUCGGCCUGCGCGGAAGAUGUAACGGGGCUAAACCAU
RNAcentral lists this ribosomal RNA (583 nucleotides) under Salmonella enterica. RNAcentral describes it as "partial 23S ribosomal RNA". It matches the Rfam family "Bacterial large subunit ribosomal RNA", at positions 606 to 1190 of the family's 2925-position model. Lineage: Bacteria; Pseudomonadati; Pseudomonadota; Gammaproteobacteria; Enterobacterales; Enterobacteriaceae. The record is from RNAcentral. RNAcentral also lists the same sequence under 1 other name.